GGAUGUGAGGUCAAUCUGGCUGUGACAUCUGUCACCCUAUUGAUUGCCAGGGUUGAUUUGGCUGAUCUGGCUGGCUAGACGGCUGCCCCGUUCCUCCCUCACCAUUCCAAGUGCAUUCCUUCUGAAGCUGCAUGCUUGGCAGAAGGGGAUGACCUUUCCUGAUUGAGGUGUACCAUUCAUUGGUCAAGGGUAUACGGUAGCUGCACUCUCCUGCUAGAACCUCCAAACAAAUAAACAAAGAGUAGUUGGUGUAGAAAUGCCCAUAAUGGACAAUAGUUGUCAGUAU
This 286-nucleotide small nuclear RNA is filed under the name Patagioenas fasciata monilis. RNAcentral's name for it is "7SK RNA". It matches the Rfam family "7SK RNA". From Rfam's summary of the family: 7SK was discovered as an abundant small nuclear RNA in the mid-70s but a possible function has only recently been suggested. Two independent studies have found that 7SK RNA binds the CDK9/cyclin T complex (known as elongation factor P-TEFb). Lineage: Eukaryota; Metazoa; Chordata; Aves; Columbiformes; Columbidae. The record is from Rfam by way of RNAcentral.